Molecule: ribosomal RNA, 440 nt
Filed under: uncultured bacterium
Lineage: Bacteria
Description: partial 16S ribosomal RNA
Rfam family: Bacterial small subunit ribosomal RNA
Source: RNAcentral
CCUACGGGACGCUGCAGUGGGGGAUAUUGCACAAUGGGGGAAACCCUGAUGCAGCGACGCCGCGUGUGGGAAGACGGUCUUCUGGAUUGUAAACCACUGUCCCCAGGGACGAAAAUGACGGUACCUGGGGAGGAAGCUCCGGCUAACUACGUGCCAGCAGCCGCGGUAAUACGUAGGGAGCAAGCGUUGUCCGGAAUUACUGGGUGUAAAGGGAGCGUAGGCGGGGAUGCAAGUUGGGUGUCAAAACUACCGGCUCAACCGAUAGUCGCACUCAAAACUGCAGCUCUUGAGUGAAGUAGAGGCAGGCGGAAUGCCUAGUGUAGCGGUGAAAUGCGUAGAUAUUAGGAGGAACACCAGUGGCGAAGGCGGCCUGCUGGGCUUUUACUGACGCUGAGGCUCGAAAGUGUGGGGAGCAAACAGGAUUAGAUACCCUGGUAGUC